Molecule: long non-coding RNA, 1641 nt
Organism: Eucalyptus grandis
Lineage: Eukaryota; Viridiplantae; Streptophyta; Magnoliopsida; Myrtales; Myrtaceae
Exons: 3
Source: RefSeq, a predicted model, not a curated record
UUAUGCAUCACAAGUUUAUGUAGUCACAAUUAACUAUUUUUUGCUGGUGUCCUUGUUUUAUCUGGAUAUGCCGAAUAAACACCCAUUUUACUGAUAAAUGCACCCAUUUAUUAGUAAUCUAACGUUAGUUAUUUAUGAACUAUGAGAGUACCUGGGUUUGACUUUGAUCUUAGAGAACGUUGCAGUGAUACUGAUGUGUUCUGAUAAUUUGAUACUUAAGACAAUUCUCAUCUUAGGCUUACUUUGUUUUAGUUUAGCUUUGAGAGAUGUACAUUUAUUUGCCUUUGUUGGCUUCCCUAUCAUCAAAGAAAUCAUCUGACUCCCUGCCUUACUAAUAAUAGAUUUUACAUUGUGUCAAAUCGAGUUAGUGUCAGUUUACAGCUAACCAGGACCCUGUGACUUAGAUGUUUAUGAUAUUAAAGAUGGAUGAUGUUUUAUUGUUUUCUGCAGUUAGCAGUUGGGGCAUUGAGUUGCACCUGUCCUGAUGGGAUUUAUGAAUGGCUUUUAUAAAAAUUCUGGUGUCAAACUCAAAUUCCUUAAUUAUAGCUGAGGUUUCUGGUGAAGAGACCUCAUUCAUGUACUAACUGAAAUAUACGGAGAAAGGCGGAAAGUCAUUUAGGUUCUAUUUAUCAAUGGUGCUCCUUGUGUCUGUCUUGUGGGUGCAUGACUGAAAUUUAAUUGCCUGGAUUGAGUUCAGCUUUUCCUGUGUUACAUAUCAAGAUUGUAUAUGUCAUAAAUGCAUACAUCCUUUUGUGAUCUCUUCUAAUUGACUAAAGUGCAACUGAAAUUAUUAUGUUAUACAUACUCUUUUCCAAUGGCAUCAUCUCUCCUGUCUUACUUGUGGCUGUAGGCACUAUUUGAUGUUUCAGCUGUUACCAACUUAUCAGUGAAUCUUAUUGGUGUUUGAUUUUUCAGGAACUAUGCUCGUAUUGAUAUAGAGUUGCCAACUACGACCACAAAACCAAACUUGCUAUUGACUUUUCUCAAUGAUUAACGUAUUGGAGAACCUACUUAAAACUUCCCUGGAGACCUCUCAUUUCGAUUGAUGGGAAGACUGUAUGAACUUGACGACAACUUUGCAGUAAGCUUUCCUUCUUUCUUUUUUCUUUUUCGGCUGAAUCUCAUUGUUUGAGUUCAUUAUAGGCUGGCAAGAAAUCAUACUAAUUGGGAGUGUGACCCCUUCUGCAGAUAGUUAGACAUCCUGAAAGUUGGAAUGUUUUGGCUCUAGAAGCAAUUGGCCAGAUUUUUACCCCUAUCUUUGGCAGACCAAGUGACUGAAGAUAAGUUUUGCCUAUAACUCUUGGAAAGGUUUUAUGGCAGCUCAUGGUUAGAGAAAGGAAGGCUGUCCACUUUAUGGAACAGACUCAAAAUAGUCCUUCUGGCUAUUGUCUGCACAUCAUACUCUUCAACACAUGAACCUACAUUUGUACAGUUGACCCUGAAGGGAGGUGUUAUUAGAGAUAAUUGUCUAAAGAUUUAAGUUCAAUGACCUUGUAGACCUACUUGUAAAUUGCUGUGUAUGCAAAGGAUGUGUCGUCUCCCUCAGGUGUAUAGCAUUCACUUUUGGUUUUGUCGAAUUUCACUUUUAUUGAACUUAGUAGAGACAAUGUACUGUGAUGCUUCAAAAUUUGGUUGAGCUGA